AUGCCUCUGCUGGACUCUCCAAUAAAGCUGUUUGAAAUGGUCUAUCUGGGAGAGAGGAUGGGCAACAAAGUGGGCUUUGUACACUUGCUGGUGCCAUUUGUGGCAGAGAAGGACUUUCUCGGAUUGCUUUGGGAUGAUGAAGAGCGUGUCUCUCAUCCAAAAACUGAAAUGAUACCUUCAGGUGUUCCAUACUCCAAAGAGUUAAAACGGAUCAGUAAAUCAGUGGAGGGUAAGUGAACUGUUAAAUCACAAAUUUUUAUUGUUAUAGUAGUGCUCCAGCCUAUAUAAAUUUGAUUGUUUAUAGCAAAUGAUUCCCGUAUACUACACUUAAAAUAUUCCUUCUGAUUGGAAGUAUAAUCAAGCACAUAGAUGAUAUCAAUAAUUCUUUAAGUAUAAUUGAAUAUUUAAGCUUCAAAAGACAUGUAAACAGGGAAAAUAAAUGUAUAGAAAAAGAAAUUUAAUUGGUAAGCAUUUUAAUUGAUGUUUUCUAAUGAAAUAUAAAAGUAUUAUGUAUUUAACAAUGUAAUAAUUUUGGUGAAAUUCUUUGGUGAGGGUGUGGUAAAAUAGAUAUAAAUGGGGUUAAGACUGUGGACUUUUAUCAUUCCCACACAAUUAAUAUGGCUGUGCCGAUCCACAGUAUACUCCGUUAGCCAAUAAUGCUGCUUUUAUAAAGCUCCUUAAGGAAAAUGCACAGUUAGCAAAUUUGUUCAUUGUAGAAUUAUGUAUUAGUUGUAGAUUGAUAGAAGUAAAUAAAAACAACUAAUGCAAGGGAUUAGGGUAAAUUAACUGUAAUAAUAUACAGUUCUUUAAAAUUUUGUCAAAACACAUUUGUUUUGUUUUUUAUUGAGGCAUAGUUGGUGUACAGAACACAUAGAAUGCUAAAUAGAUCCCGUGUGUGUGUGUGUGUCUGUGUGAGAGACAGAAAGAGAAAGGAGAGAGGGGGGGAAAAGGAAUUUAAAACACAAAUACACAAGAGAAAAAUAGGCAACCAUGAUGGUGAGAUUAAGGGUAAUUUUUAUUUUCCUGUUUACAUUUUGUUUAGCUUUUAAAUUCUUUUGCAGUGCAUGCAUCAGUUUUGUGGUCCAAAACAGCGUUGCUUUAAAAACUACAUUGAAUGAGUAUUCCAACUUCUGAACUGCUGGUUUUGAGGAAAAACAGAUUUUGCAGUCCACUGGCAGCAUGUUUGUGGUGUCCUUUCUUUUCUCCUGUUCCCCCAGCCUAUAGACAGCAGCUUGACUGAGAGACCUACAGGCUGAUGUGUAUCUCUCUCUUUCACUCACACACGCAGGCGUGUACACACACACACACAUACACACACAUGAUCAAAGGAUAUUCUAGUGUGUCCCUUGAGAGGGUACUUUCUUUCCUUUAUCCUGAAUAAUUUAAAUGGAGCUGAAGAAAGCUAUUCUUUUCCAUGCUGCUAAGUCACUUCAGUCGUCUCCGACUCUGUGUGACCCCAUAGACAGCAGCCCACCAGGCUCCCCCGUCCCUGGGAUUCUCCAGGCAAGCACACUGGAGUGGGUUGCCAUUUCCUUCUCCAAUGCAUGAAAGUGACAAGUGAAAGUGAAGUCGCUCAGUCGUGUCCGACCCUCAGAGACCCCAUGGAUUGCAGCCCACCAGGUUCCUCUGUCCAUGGGAUUUUCCAGGCAGGAGUACUGGAGUGGGGAUUCUUUUCCAUGAGCUGAUAUUAAAAGGUUGAGCAAACCAUGCAAUGAGUUACUUUCAUCUAUCGAUAUUAUCAUGACUAAAUAUCCUCUCUUACAUUAUUCAUUCGUUCAACAAAUAAUUUUGAGUGCCUAUUAGACUCUCAGGUAGUCACUUUUAUGGAGAUUAAAAUGUAUUCAUUUAUUCAUCUGUUUAGUCAGUCAGUAAACAGUAUUUCCUACAGUCCUUACCAGUGUGUGGCAGCUGCUAUUGCUAGACACUGCAAAUACUGUAGUGAACUAGAUAGAUAUGAGCCUACCCUCAAGGACCUCAUGGUCUGGUAGGAGAGAGAAAAAAUUCAACCAAUAAAUAAAAAUAAGUUCAGUUUGCAGAAUUGCCUUGUAAAAAUGCCCAGUGUUGCAGUAAGAUCGGCAUUGGUCCUCCCCAGUGAGGUGGUCCUGGAAGGCCUCUCUGAGCAGAGGACCUGGGUGUGACUUGGAAAGUGAUAGGAAAGUGAUCUGGGGUGAGCUGAGUUCCAGGGAGGUAGGGAAAGCACAUCCCAACCUGAGACAGGAAAGGAGCUUAUAGGUAGGGAAGCCCUAGAGGUAGGGAAAGUCUGCAAUGGGAUGGUCCUUGGCAGGCUCCAGGGAGGAGAGGGCAGCCUUUUGCCAGGGUGAUGAGUUUGGCUGGAUCCAACACAGAGUUUGAGUACAAAUUUGAGUUUUAAUGAGCAGACUAGUCAAGAGGUACAAUUAAGGUAUAAAUCAGAGAUUAACAAGCUCUUCCUAUAAAGGGCCAAAGAUUUUUUACGUUCUGGCCCUGCAGGGCUUUAGAGUCUCAACUCUGCCUUUGUUAAGGAAGACACUCAGAGGCAAUACGUAGAAGAAUGGGGUCUUCACUCAAAGAACCAGGCUUAGACAGAUUUGGCUCAGGAGGUGUAGUUUGCCAACCCUGGACAUAAACAGAAAAGUUGUACAACUCCUCAGUCAUGCUACUGGACGUCAGGGAAGGAGAAGAUGACUUCCUAUGGUGAAAUCAGAGGUGGGUCUUGAAAGAUAAGGAUAGAUCAAAAAUGAAAUGAUGGGGGGAAAGAAAAUAUAGGCAAAGGAAUCAGUAGGGUACAGUCCAGACUCAGUAAAGUCCAGAGCUCACAGGGAGGUAAUUAGUAUCUGCCCAGGGAGUGGUGAGGAAGUGCAGCUCUUUUAUUCCUCAGAUAUUUCAAGGACCUGUGAAGUAGCAGACACUGCACUGGACAGUGGGGGACGGGGAUAAGGAGUGAAUAAGGAAUGAACCUAUAAUCUCAGAUACUAGAGGGGUUGACAGAUAAGGAAGCAAGUCAUCCCAUGAUUAACUCAGUGUGGGGAAAUAAGGCUUCUUAAUAAGGAUGAGUCAAGAAAUUAACUUUCUUUCCUUCAUUGUAGCUGUUUUCUUUGGUGCUUGAUUAAGUCAAUGUGCUCACAUGCUAGAAAAUUACAAAGAUACCAGGGGAUAUACAGUGAAAAUUUUCUCUCCCAACCUCUAUCCCUUAAGCCUACUGAAUACCCACCCCACCACCUGCCCCCCAGCACAACCAGUGUCACUGAUUGCUUCUGGAUCCUUCUAAAGUUCAUCUAUGCAGAUCUAAAGAAAUGAGUAUGUUUGAGGUUCUUUGUUUUUCCUCUUGAUUACACUGAUAAUCUAGCUGAAUCUUUUAAGUAUAAAUUUUCCACAGAGGAGAAGGACAAUGGAGGUUAAAAGAAAGCAUGUGUCUUAAAGAUGGAUGGAGGAAAAG
Molecule: long non-coding RNA, 3415 nt
Organism: Bos grunniens (domestic yak)
Lineage: Eukaryota; Metazoa; Chordata; Mammalia; Artiodactyla; Bovidae
Source: Ensembl